UCCCCGUUAUCCGAGGCGGUUUCGCUAGAGUGCCCGACAUUACUCGCUGGCAACUAAGGACAGGGGUUGCGCUCGUUGCGCCACUUAAGGCAACACCUCACGGCACGAGCUGACGACAGCCAUGCAGCACCUGAGCAGGAUGGUAUUGCUACCUCGUUGGGCUUUCACCCUUCUACUACCUGCAUGUCCAGCCUGGGUAAGGUUCUUCGCGUUGCGUCGAAUUAAACCACAUGCUCCACCGCUUGUGCGGGCCCCCGUCAAUUCCUUUGAGUUUCAGCCUUGCGGCCGUACUCCCCAGGCGGGGUACUUCCUGCGUUAGCGCCGGCACUCAGGGGGUCGCUCCCCCAAGCACCUAGUACCCAUCGUUUACGGCGUGGACUAC
Molecule: unclassified non-coding RNA, 382 nt
Filed under: uncultured bacterium
Lineage: Bacteria
Description: contains 16S-23S intergenic spacer region
Source: RNAcentral